RNAcentral lists this ribosomal RNA (887 nucleotides) under uncultured bacterium. Its description in RNAcentral is "bacterial SSU rRNA". It matches the Rfam family "Bacterial small subunit ribosomal RNA", at positions 514 to 1404 of the family's 1533-position model. The record is from RNAcentral.
GCCGCGGUAAUACGAACCGCACGAACGUUUUUGGGAAUCACUGGGCUUAAGGGGUGAGUAGGCGGCCGAGUAAGUCAGCGGUGAAAUUUUGCAGCUUAACUGUAACAGUGCCGUUGAUACUGCAUGGCUAGGAUUUGGUUGCUGUGGGUGGAAUGUGUGGUGUAGCGGUGAAAUGCUUAGAUAUCACACAGAAUAUCGAUUGCGAAGGCAGCUCACAAAGCCAAGAUUGACGCUGAGGCACGAAAGUGUGGGGAUCAAACAGGAUUAGAUACCCUGGUAGUCCACACUGUAAACGAUGAUAACUCACUGCCGGCGAUACACAGUCGGUGGCCAAGCGAAAGCGAUAAGUUAUCCACCUGGGGAGUACGACCGCAAGGUUGAAACUCAAAGGAAUUGACGGGGGCCCGCACAAGCGGAGGAACAUGUGGUUUAAUUCGAUGAUACGCGAGGAACCUUACCCGGGCUCGAACGGUGCAUGAAUAAGCAAGAGAUUGUUUAGUCCUUCGGGACAUGUAUCGAGGUGCUGCAUGGUUGUCGUCAGCUCGUGCCGUGAGGUGUCGGCUUAAGUGCCAUAACGAGCGCAACCCUUGUUGUUAGUUACCAACAGGUAAAGCUGGGGACUCUAACGAGACUGCCACCGUAAGGUGUGAGGAAGGGGGGGAUGACGUCAAAUCAGCACGGCCCUUAUGUCCGGGGCGACACACGUGUUACAAUGGGGGGUACAGAGGGCAGCCAUCCGGUGACGGAGCGCCAAUCUCCAAAACCCUUCUCAGUUCGGAUUGGAGUCUGCAACCCGACUCCAUGAAGUUGGAUUCGCUAGUAAUCGCGCAUCAGCCAUGGCGCGGUGAAUACGUUCCCGGGCCUUGCACACACCGCCCGUAAGGGCG